Long non-coding RNA from Hyla sarda, 501 nucleotides. RefSeq lists it as uncharacterized. The transcript has 4 exons. NCBI's taxonomy places the organism in Eukaryota, Metazoa, Chordata, Amphibia, Anura, Hylidae. The record is from RefSeq and is a predicted model, not a curated record.
CAGAGGAUGUGUGAGGAGGCAGGAUGCUGCUUCCGUUUACAGUGUGGCAGAGUUGAGCGCAGGGACUGUAAGGUGGCAGGAUUGAGCGCAGAGAUGUGCUUGGAGCCGAUGUGGACUUCCAGACAAAAUGGAAGAAAUUCCAGAACUUGCGUAAAUGCUUGAAAAAAAAGGAUUGCACAGUCAAGCUCUCCUGUAAGUCUUGGAGGUUGAAAGCAACAGUUAGGAACCGGGAAAGGAGACCGCUCCUGUAAAGCAGCCUGGAAAAGCAAAGUCAAUAUCAGACAGCACGGGUCCAAGUAGGGACACUCUGGCCAUCUUGUUAGCUGAUGGGGAACCUGUGAUCGCACUACUGAGUCCCGAUGAAUUUAGAUCCUGUGAUUGAUUUUAAAGAGGAUCUGUAGCCAACUCAAAUAAAAUUAGAUGUUACUGUCAUUAAAUAGCUUAGGUUGUCCUGGUCAUUUGCCUUUUUAGUUUGUCCACCAAUUCAGGAAAUCAGUCAGA